RNAcentral lists this ribosomal RNA (253 nucleotides) under uncultured bacterium. RNAcentral describes it as "partial 16S ribosomal RNA". It matches the Rfam family "Bacterial small subunit ribosomal RNA", at positions 524 to 776 of the family's 1533-position model. The record is from RNAcentral.
UACGGAGGGUGCGAGCGUUGUCCGGAAUCACUGGGCGUAAAGGGCGCGUAGGCGGCUCGGUAAGCGUGCGGUGAAAGCCUGGGGCUCAACCCCGGGUCGACCGUGCGAACUGUCGAGCUCGAGCACUGUAGAGGCAGGCGGAAUUCCGGGUGUAGCGGUCGAAUGCGUAGAGAUCCGGAAGAACACCGGUGGCGAAGGCGGCCUGCUGGGCAGUAGCUGACGCUGAGGCGCGACAGCGUGGGGAGCAAACAGG